CUCUCUUUCACCCUCAUGGUACUUCCUGUAUUCUGUUUCAAUACUUCCAGACCUAGGCUAACGUGGUGGAUGGUGGAGAGGCUGGAGACUGACUCCCCAACCCCACAAAAUGAUUGGGGCUGAAGUGGACAAAUGAAGCAACUGAAUCUUGAAAACGGGCUGAAAUGAAACAUACCGGACCUGAGCACACAGGAAAGUAGGGGGUGGAGUUGGAAGCUCGGGAGCCCAUGCUGGAACACGAGGCAGUUG
Molecule: long non-coding RNA, 249 nt
Organism: Gopherus evgoodei (Goodes thornscrub tortoise)
Lineage: Eukaryota; Metazoa; Chordata; Testudines; Testudinidae
Exons: 3
Source: RefSeq, a predicted model, not a curated record